This 253-nucleotide ribosomal RNA is filed under the name uncultured bacterium. RNAcentral describes it as "partial 16S ribosomal RNA". It matches the Rfam family "Bacterial small subunit ribosomal RNA", at positions 524 to 776 of the family's 1533-position model. The record is from RNAcentral.
UACGUAGGGUGCAAGCGUUGUCCGGAAUUAUUGGGCGUAAAGAGCUUGUAGGCGGUUUGUCGCGUCUGCUGUGAAAUUUCGGGGCUCAACCCCGAACUUGCAGUGGGUACGGGCAGACUAGAGUGUGGUAGGGGAGACUGGAAUUCCUGGUGUAGCGGUGAAAUGCGCAGAUAUCAGGAGGAACACCGGUGGCGAAGGCAGGUCUCUGGGCCACUACUGACGCUGAGAAGCGAAAGCAUGGGGAGCGAACAGG